This 332-nucleotide ribosomal RNA is filed under the name uncultured Bacillota bacterium. Its description in RNAcentral is "bacterial SSU rRNA". It matches the Rfam family "Bacterial small subunit ribosomal RNA", at positions 28 to 351 of the family's 1533-position model. The record is from RNAcentral. Lineage: Bacteria; Bacillati; Bacillota.
GACGAACGCUGGCGGCGUGCUUAACACAUGCAAGUCGAACGGUACUUACUAAGUAGUAAUACGAAGUUUGUAUAGUGGCGGACGGGUGAGUAACGCGUGAGCAAUCUGCCUUUAAGAGGGGGAUAACACCGGGAAACCGGUGCUAAUACCGCAUAAGACCACACUGCCACAUGGCAGAGGGGUAAAAGGAGCAAUCCGCUUAAAGAUGAGCUCGCGUCCCAUUAGCUAGUUGGUGAGGUAACGGCUCACCAAGGCUGCGAUGGGUAGCCGACCUGAGAGGGUGAUCGGCCACACUGGAACUGAGACACGGUCCAGACACCUACGGGAGGCAG